Molecule: ribosomal RNA, 458 nt
Filed under: uncultured bacterium
Lineage: Bacteria
Description: partial 16S ribosomal RNA
Rfam family: Bacterial small subunit ribosomal RNA
Source: RNAcentral
CCUACGGGAGGCAGCAGUGAGGAAUAUUGGUCAAUGGGCGAGAGCCUGAACCAGCCAAGUCGCGUGAGGGAGUACUGCCCUAUGGGUUGUAAACCUCUUUUGUCGGGGAGCAAAAGCCGGACGUGUCCGGCUGUGAGAGUACCCGAAGAAAAAGCAUCGGCUAACCCCGUGCCAGCAGCCGCGGUAAUACGGAGGAUGCGAGCGUUAUCCGGAUUUAUUGGGUUUAAAGGGUGCGCAGGCGGAUUUUUAAGUCAGCGGUAAAAUCGUGGGGCUCAACCCCAUCCAGCCGUUGAAACUGGGGAUCUAGAGUGUGCGAGAGGUAUGCGGAAUGCGUGGUGUAGCGGUGAAAUGCAUAGAUAUCACGCAGAACCCCGAUUGCGAAGGCAGCAUACCGGUGCACAACUGACGCUCAGGCACGAAAGCGUGGGUAUCGAACAGGAUUAGAUACCCCUGUAGUC